ACGAGUUGUUCGGCGCUCUUCUAUAUGACGUAACACAAGGCUAAACCUGAUCAUGGGGUGUGGCAGUUGCCUACCCUAUCGUGGUUUUCUGCAUUCACAGUAAUUAACAUGAGUCUGAGUGUAGCCUAUAGUUUAGUCCAUUAUAUACAGCUAAUUCAGUACACCGUGGGUGUGAAGUGCAUGGUUUCUACAAUGUGGCCAAUUCAAAAGGUCAGGCCUGCAAUACUGUGAGGUGCACCGCCCACAACGAUGCCAACCAGCUCCGCCGACUGGACUCCUAUGACCAUGCGGGCGUGGCAGAGCGCCUCUGCUCCUACACCAAGGUCCUCUUCGUAUGGGAGCCCUUAGAGGGGCUGGUUUCGGCCUUCCACGAUAAGUUUGAGAGCUCCAACUGGUACUACCACUCAGCGUUCGGCCGGCCCAUCAUCUCCCGGUACCGGGCCAAUGCCUCACUCUCCGCCCUGAGGACUGACGAUGGAGUCACCUUCAGGGAGUUUGUCCAGUACCUGUUGGAUGUGAGGUGACCCGUGGGCAUGGACAUCCACUGGACGCCGGUCAGCCAGCUCUGCAGCCCCUGCCUGCUGCACUACGACUUCAUCGGGAAGUUUCCCAACUUCCUGCUACAGAGCAUUGGGUGCCUGCCGACGUCAAGGCAGAAAGGACUGCUUCCACCAUUGCUCAGAUGUACUUUGAACAGCAUGGACAGACAGGGUCUGUAAACUUUACUACAUGGAUUAUCUGAUGGAUCUGAUCUGAUUAUCUACAUGGAGUAUCUGUUUAACUACCCCAAGCCCUUUCUGUACCGAGGUACUGGCUGGAGUGCCAGGUUGAGAUGAUUAAUUUGAGAUUGCGGGACUUGAAUAAGCACUACAGACACUGAUGUAUUUCUUAUUUAUGUCUGGUUACAAUUAUGAUUUGAUGUGAUUACUUUGAGCAUAGGUUGUACAAUUGUCUUUUUCUUCUCAAAUUCAUCAUAUCUAACUCGUAGUUAGUCUUGUCCCAUCGCUGCAACUUCCCUACGGACUCGGGAGAGGCGAAGGUAGAGAGCCGUGCGUCCUCCAAAACACGACCCUCCCAAGCCGCACUGCUUCUUGACACACUGCUCGCUUAACUCGGAAGCCAGCCGCACCAAUGUGCCAGAGGAAACACCGUCAAGCUGGCGACCAAUUGUGCGCCGCCUCAUGGUUCCCCUGUCACGGCCGACUGUGACACAGCCUAGGAUCGAACCUGUUUCUAUAGUAAUGCCUCAAGCACUGCGAUGCAGUGCCUUAGACCACUGCGCCACUCGUGAGGCCCCGUGGUUAUACAGCUUUUAGUCGUAACGCUUUUUAUAGUGUUAAAACUGAUGUACUUUUUGUCAAAUGCACUUUUAUUUACUGGCAUACAGCCUACAUACACAUCCUCUCAACAAACAACAAGAUAUCUCUUUCUACUUGUUUUGUAUUUUGCAUGCAAUAGACUUGUUACAAUAUAUUUCUAAAAUACAGAAACACAGGGAAAAUAUAUAGAGUUGAGUGGCAUAACUGUAUAAUAUCUCGGUUCAUCACAUAUGGCCUUCUAGAUGUAUCAUGAUAUUUGAAUCUGUUGGUAAUGUACAUUGAAACAUAUGUUUGAGGUUUUCUGGGUAAUUGUAUGGGCCUCAUUACAGUACAGAUGAUGACACUAAGUGUAAAGAGUUAAUGUACAAUUGUUCUACAUGUCUGUGCAGAAGUGUUGUAUGACAAAUGAUUUAAAUCCCCUAGCCUUAACACUGUCAAUAUACAUGUAUAUUUUUGUUUGGGUUUUCAAGCACCAUUACCUUGAUUAACAAGCCACUUCAACAAAACAUGUAUUUCUUGUUUUUCCACAUCUGGUUUAAGGAAGUGACAGAAAUAUGACAGUUUUAAUUCAUUUCAAAAUGUUCCGUGUACAAUAGAG
Molecule: long non-coding RNA, 1917 nt
Organism: Oncorhynchus tshawytscha (Chinook salmon)
Lineage: Eukaryota; Metazoa; Chordata; Actinopteri; Salmoniformes; Salmonidae
Exons: 3
Source: RefSeq, a predicted model, not a curated record